CCUACGGGUGGCAGCAGUGAGGAAUAUUGGUCAAUGGACGAGAGCCUGAACCAGCCAAGUAGCGUGAAGGAUGACUGCCCUAUGGGUUGUAAACUUCUUUUAUAUGGGAAUAAAAUGUUCCACGUGUGGGAUUUUGUAUGUACCAUAUGAAUAAGGAUCGGCUAACUCCGUGCCAGCAGCCGCGGUAAUACGGAGGAUCCGAGCGUUAUCCGGCUUUAUUGGGUUUAAAGGGAGCGUAGGUGGGUUGUUAAGUCAGUUGUGAAAGUUUGCGGCUCAACCGUAAAAUUGCAGUUGAAACUGGCAUUCUUGAGUACAGGAGAGGGUGGCGGAAGUCGUGGUGUAGCGGGGAAAUGCAUAGAUAUCAGGCAGAACUCCGGUUGCGAAGGCAGCAUACCGGCGCCCAACUGACGCUGAAGCACGAAAGCGUGGGUAUCGAACAGGAUUAGAUACCCGAGUAGUC
Molecule: ribosomal RNA, 460 nt
Filed under: uncultured bacterium
Lineage: Bacteria
Description: partial 16S ribosomal RNA
Rfam family: Bacterial small subunit ribosomal RNA
Source: RNAcentral